This is a long non-coding RNA of Myotis myotis, 3836 nucleotides long. RefSeq lists it as uncharacterized. The transcript is spliced from 2 exons. NCBI's taxonomy places the organism in Eukaryota, Metazoa, Chordata, Mammalia, Chiroptera, Vespertilionidae. The record is from RefSeq and is a predicted model, not a curated record.
ACUGGCUUAUUUCACUUAUCAUAAUAUUCUCUCUAGGCCCAUCCAUGCUGUUACAAAGGGAAGGAGGACGCCUGGGUCUGAAUCACUAAGGAAAACCCCAGAGCGGAGGUCUCUAGAAACGGGAGCCACACAGCCUGUGCUCACCUGUUGCACUCAGAAUGCAUAAAGCGUCGAUGCUUUACAUGUGAAUGCUCAACUGUUUCCUACCUGCCCUGGCCAGCUGUGGCCUCUGCUCAAGGCAACAAAGCUUCAAUUAUAGAAGAUAAAUAAAUCCCAGAUACCUGCUUCCAGUCAGCCUCCACUGGGAGCUUGGGUGGCUGGGGGCCAUGGCCAGCCUGCAAACAGCCAUCAGCCACUCACCCAGGCUGGCCAGGCACCCCAACAGGACGCCCCCACUGUUUUUUAGACAUUUGGAGAGAAGGAGUUGGAGUUCAAGUCCUGCCAUUCACACAUUUAAUCAUUCCUUCGGUCAACAAAUACUUAUCCAACGCUUGCCAGGUAUCACCUGAAUAUAACCAAAUAGCAAACAAGACUUCAGUUACAUUAACAACUCAACAAAACCUUAGUUAGUCAGGCCCCAAACUUGGAAGAGAUCAUGUUAAUAGAGUUUAAUAACAAAGGGAUUAUUUACAAAAAGUGUGGGCAAGACCAAAGGGCAAUCACAAGAGAUAACGUGUCUAUCAGGGCCAGUUGCGGCUGUUUUCAAGCCUGGGCCCGCCCCGGUAGGGACAAGAGGAGAGAACUGUUAUGAAAGCCCAGAGAUAAAAAGAACUGUUUGGAGAGUGCCGUGUGGCAGGAGCUAUGCCAUUCAGUUAAGGAAUGCAACCAGCCCACUAAGGAUCUUGAAGGAGGAACCUGGAGGAAUAAAUGCCCCAGGCUCGCUCUCAUCACUCUCUGAUUUCUUGCUGAUAUUUCCUAUUAACUGAACAGAGGUGCAAGGGAGCAGAUGGAUAUAAACUAAACAGGUCAGCUUUCCCCAUGCACAGAGCAGGGUGGAAAAGGAUGGAGAGUGUUCUGGAGGGACAGGCUGUAUAUCCAGCAUGAACUCAAUGCUCCCAAACAUAGUGCUUCCAUGGUUAGGGCUUCCAGGGCACAAAAAAUUAGGUCUGGGAACUGAAAUCAUCGAGGGCUCCCGGUUAACCGUCUUCAUUAGCAUGACAUUACAAUUCAUUGUCUUUAUAAGCACGACUUUACUACUCCAAGCAACUUUUGUCCAGAAAGAUAAAUGUUGCAAAUCCAUUCUAAAUCCUCAACUUUUCAACAGACAACAUAAAAUGACCGUUAACCUUUCACGAGUCUUUGGAACCCUCGCUUCACUAUGCUCACCAAUCCCAAACCACUGCAUCAUGAUCCUUACCCAAUCCUAACCAAGCCACCACACUGAAUACCCACCUGAAACUAGAUCCAAUACUCAUCAAUUCCCCAACUUUGCUCUCCCUAUUCUUUUUUAAAAAUAUAUAUUUUUAUUUUUAUUGAUUUCAGUGAGGAAGGGAGAGGGAGGGAGAGAUAGAAACAUCAGUGAUGACAGAGAAUCAUUGAUCGGCUGCCUCCUGCAUGCCCCACACCAGGCAUUGAGCCCCCAACCUGAGCAUGUGCCCUGACCAGGGAUGGAACUGUGACCUCAUGGCUCAUAGAUCAAUGUUCAACCACUAAGCCACGCUGGCCAGCAUUUCUUUGUGGAUCCCAAAAGCAAUUCCACUCUUACUGAGUGAGCACUGUUGCAUGUUCCUAAUAUUUCGGAGGUAAGAACGAAGAUUGAAUUUACAUUCAUUCAGUGUGCGUCAUCUAACUCCAAAGACCUCCCUUGGCCAUGUCUCUUUGAAAGUGCUUCCUCCUGGCUCCACCGCCAAUAUGACUCUGACCCCCAGGGAAUUUAGCUCCUAUUGGCCUUCCUCUCCCCUCAUUCAUCAUGGAUUCUGAUUCUAACUUGAAGCCAUCCAGCAAUUUUUUAAGAAAACAAAGAUAUUCUCUUAAUGCAAGAACCUGUUAGGAAAACAAAAAAAAAUUUCUAAAUAUUACAUUCGUGGUUAGGGCUAACCCUAACCAAAAAAUUAAAAACCUUAAUGUCUACCCAUGGGACAUCAAUGUUAUGAAAUCACUAUAGAGUGAUAGAAAGGGAUGAGGUGGAUUUCUAUGUACUCACAGGCAAGGAUCUUCAUGACAUAUUGUUAAGUAUAUAAAACAAGGUGCUUACAAAUAUGUAUACUAUAAUCCAUUUUUUGUUAAAAUAGUAUACACAUACAUGCCUUUCCCUUACAUGUGUGUUCAGUAUAAAUCAGCAGCUCCCUGAUUCUGCUCACUCGUCACUCAUUGGACUGCAUGGGGGAAGUAAGAAAAGCUAUGAAACAAUAUUGAUGUUGUUAUAAAUGAAACCUCUGAUCUUUCCAAGGAUGUGUUGGUGUAUGUUGUUCUCCAGAAAAAGAGAAGGAAAGGGGAGAAGCCCUAAUGUGUGAAUUUGCUAUGCCCAUGAUGUAAACACUCUCACCACGGUUGAUUUCAAGCCACCAGUUGACAUCACCCAGUGUUUAUGAGAAGAGAUAUGCACCAGCAGCUCUCUCAAACCUGCUCAGCCGGCUCCAGCAGCACCACCCUGACUUUCUCUUUCCACAUUCUUAACAUAAGUAGUUGUUCUUAAAGGCCCAGCACAAUGCCUCUCUCCUCCAAGGACUUGAAAGUAGCAGAACAGCUUAUGUCUACCACUGCCAGGGAAAGAGGGGGAACAAGGGCUCCCAAAGAGGAGAUAUUCGCAUUCUUCAACUCUCAAGGUGUCCACGUAUUGCAUGAAGUCAACAACCUUAACUAAAGGGUCAGCGAGUUGACCUUCAUGUUUGCUAGCACUGCACUCCUUUGGGAGCAACCGAAAAACCCACUGUCAGGGGCUGAAGCAAGUAGACAUUUCUUUUCCUCCCGUCACAAAACGUCUGCAAAGGACAGACCAGGGCCUUAUGGAGCCGGCUCCUUCUGUCUUUCCACUCAGCUAUCCAUCCUGUUCCUGGCCACUGUGUGGUCACAGGACAUCUGCUCAGCAUCAUGCUGUGUUUCAGGCAAGAAAAACAGGAAUAUGAAGGGCGAAAGAUGCACGUGGGCAUGCCAGAUGAGUCUGACCCAGAGGAAGAGCCCACCGGGAGGCCUUCUCCAGGACUUCAGCUCAUAUCCCAUGGGCUAGACACAUAUCGUGUGGUCACCUCUCCCUUUAAGGGAGGUUGAGAAAUGGAGCACAUUCCCACCCCCCAAAAACGGGGUUCUGUUAGGCCACCAGAAGUAUUUGUCACAAACAUAAGUCACAACAGAAAUAAAGACAUGGAGAACAAGGACACAAGUCCUAAAAUGUCAGGCUCCUAACCAUGGUGACAGGAGCCACUCCACCGACCACCUGCAAGGUCCUAAUUUGGCGCGCGCGUGCACACACACACACACACACACACACACACGCAGAAGAACAUCCUAGGCUUCUCAUCUCUCCCAAUGUCCCUCUAAGAAACCCUGAUCCCAUCUCCUCAGGAAAGAAUGCAUGAUCGGCCCUAGAGACCAGGCAGCAGGGAGCCCUGAGGUGGCCCAGGGCACAGUCAUCCCAAAUAUUGGCAAGCCCCCUCUCAAGAACAAUUAGGUUCCACCUCACCACUCAGCCUGUCCACACAGGCUGGGCCUUCCUCCUUGGCUAGACAGCUCUGAGCCAGCAUCUCAAACCCAACGCUUCGGAGAUUCUCCAGAGCAGUGGUCUCUAAAACCUCUGCUCACACACUUCCUCAUUAAAAAAUGGUUAGCCAUUGGGAGCGGUCAAUGGGGGGAAAGGAGACAUGUAAUACAUUCAACAAUAAAGUAUUUUAAAAAAUAAA